Molecule: long non-coding RNA, 667 nt
Filed under: Carassius auratus (goldfish)
Lineage: Eukaryota; Metazoa; Chordata; Actinopteri; Cypriniformes; Cyprinidae
Description: lncRNA (ENSCARG00000030572.1)
Source: RNAcentral
UUUGCAUUAGAGAUGGACUGUUCACAUAUGCACAUUUCGGAACUUUAUGUCGUAUAUUUCUCGUGUUAAGCGAUGCCUAGUUUCUUCAUUAAAUGUGUCUGAAUUUCCAAGUAUCUCAGAGUCAGAACAUGGCUUGACAUAUGGAAGUUAUGUUCAGUAAAUUGGUCCAGGUGUGCACAGCUGUUAUCACUUUCCCAGGAUAAAAGAGAGCCAGUGUGAUGACCACAGCAUCAGUCGCACCUUCAAUGGCUCCAUUGUUCUGAAGACUAAACUAUUGGGAUUUCAGGAUAAUUUUUUUAUGCUUUAUUAUAAUUAUUAUUUCUAUUUUGUAUUUUUUUUAAUUAGAGGGGGCCAGUUGGUCAAAGAGGGCCACCUGGACCUCCAGGGCCUGCUGGCUUUCCUGGCGUUGAUGGCAUUGACGGUGACAGGGGACCUGGCCCUGGCCCAGAUGGCCCCCCAGGCCUUGACGGAGACAAUGGCAAGGAUGGAUUAAAUGGCGUUCCAGGAAAACCAGGAGCGGAUGGUUUGACUGGGCCCCGUGGUGAACCUGGCCCUGUUGGCCCUCCUGGACAAAAAGUAAGUUUAAACUUCCACAUAACAAUAAGUGAAAAAAAACACAUUAACAUUGUGUUUUUAAAUUAUUAAGUCUUUAUUGUGAAUGGCUGUA